This 486-nucleotide ribosomal RNA is filed under the name uncultured bacterium. Its description in RNAcentral is "partial 16S ribosomal RNA". It matches the Rfam family "Bacterial small subunit ribosomal RNA", at positions 28 to 507 of the family's 1533-position model. The record is from RNAcentral.
GAUGAACGCUGGCGGCGUGCCUAAUACGUGCAAGUCGAACGCUGGAAAUCUAGCUUGCUAGAUUGAAGGAGUGGCGAACGGGUGAGUAAUACAUAAGCAACCUACCCACGAAGACUGGGAUAAUCUCUGGAAACGGGGACUAAUACCGGAUAGGUAAUCGGAAGGCAUCUUCUGAUUAUUAAAGGUUAAAAACACUGGUGGAUGGGCUUAUGGCGCAUUAGUUAGUUGGUGAGGUAACGGCCCACCAAGACGAUGAUGCGUAGCCGGCCUGAGAGGGUGAACGGCCACAUUGGGACUGAGACACGGCCCAGACUCCUACGGGAGGCAGCAGUAGGGAAUUUUCGGCAAUGGGGGAAACCCUGACCGAGCAACGCCGCGUGAGUGAUGACGGCCUUCGGGGUGUAAAGCUCUGUUGUAAGGGAAGAACGGUAGAUAGAGAAUAUCUAAAUGACGGUACCUUACCAGAAAGCCACGGCUAACUACGUG